AGAGUUUGAUCCUGGCUCAGGAUAAACGCUGGCGGCGUGCCUAACACAUGCAAGUCGAACGCGGCUUGAAUAAAGCCGAGUGGCGGACGGGUGAGGAACACGUGGGUUAUCUACCUUGAGGUGAGGAAUACCGGCGAGAAAUCGCCGACAAUACCGCAUGACCUGAGCAAUCAGGAAAGCUGAGCAAUCGGCGCCACAAG
This 200-nucleotide ribosomal RNA is filed under the name uncultured bacterium. Its description in RNAcentral is "partial 16S ribosomal RNA". It matches the Rfam family "Bacterial small subunit ribosomal RNA", at positions 8 to 224 of the family's 1533-position model. The record is from RNAcentral.